AUUGAACGCUGGCGGCAGGCCCAACACAUGCAAGUCGAGCGAGCGGCGGACGGGUGAGUAAUGUCUGGGAAACUGCCUGAUGGAGGGGGAUAACUACUGGAAACGGUAGCUAAUACCGCAUACCAUCAGAUGUGCCCAGAUGGGAUUAGCUAGUAGGUGGGGUAAUGGCUCACCUAGGCGACGAUCCCUAGCUGGUCUGAGAGGAUGACCAGGCACAAUUGAACUGAGACACGGUCCAAACUCCUUCGGGAGGGAGCAGUGGGGAAUAUUUGACAAGGGGCGGAAGGCCUCAGCAGCCAAGGCGCGUGUAUGAAGAAGGCCUUCGGGUUGUAAAGGACUUUCAGCGGGGAGGCGGUACCCGCAGAAGAAGCACCGGCUAACUCCGUGCCAGCAGCCGCGGUAAUAC
RNAcentral lists this ribosomal RNA (406 nucleotides) under uncultured bacterium. Its description in RNAcentral is "partial 16S ribosomal RNA". It matches the Rfam family "Bacterial small subunit ribosomal RNA", at positions 29 to 526 of the family's 1533-position model. The record is from RNAcentral.